Molecule: ribosomal RNA, 584 nt
Filed under: uncultured bacterium
Lineage: Bacteria
Description: bacterial SSU rRNA
Rfam family: Bacterial small subunit ribosomal RNA
Source: RNAcentral
CAAAACUCCGGUGGUACGGGAUGGGCCCGCGUCUGAUUAGCUGGUUGGCGGGGUAACGGCCCACCAAGGCGACGAUCAGUAGCCGGCCUGAGAGGGCGGCCGGCCACAUUGGGACUGAGACACGGCCCAGACUCCUGCGGGAGGCAGCAGUGGGGAAUAUUGCACAAUGGGGGAAACCCUGAUGCAGCGACGCCGCGUGGGCGAGGAAGUACCUCGGUAUGUAAAGCCCUAUCAGCAGGGAAGAAACAGGACAGUACCUGACUAAGAAGCCCCGGCUAACUACGUGCCAGCAGCCGCGGUAAUACGUAGGGGGCAAGCGUUAUCCGGAUUCACUGGGCGUAAAGGGAGCGCAGGCGGCAUGGCAAGUCUGAUGUGAAAACCCGGGGCCCAACCCCGGGAGUGCAUUGGAAACUGCCAGGCUGGAGUGUCGGAGGGGUAAGCGGAAUUCCUAGUGUAGCGGUGAAAUGCGUAGAUAUUAGGAGGAACACCAGUGGCGAAGGCGGCUUACUGGACGACUACUGACGCUGAGGCUCGAAAGCGUGGGGAGCAAACAGGAUUAGAUACCCUGGUAGUCCACGCCGUAA